RNAcentral lists this ribosomal RNA (226 nucleotides) under uncultured bacterium. RNAcentral describes it as "partial 16S ribosomal RNA". It matches the Rfam family "Bacterial small subunit ribosomal RNA", at positions 538 to 763 of the family's 1533-position model. The record is from RNAcentral.
GCGUUGUCCGGAUUUACUGGGCGUAAAGAGCGUGUAGGCGGCCAGACAGGUCUGUUGUGAAAACUGGAGGCUUAACCUCCAGACGUCGACAGAAACCGUCUGGCUAGAGUCCGGAAGAGGAGAGUGGAAUUCCUGGUGUAGCGGUGAAAUGCGCAGAUAUCAGGAAGAACACCAAUGGCGAAAGCAGCUCUCUGGGACGGUACUGACGCUGAGACGCGAAAGCGUG